ACGGAAGGCAGCAGUGGGGAAUAUUGCACAAUGGGCGAAAGCCUGAUGCAGCGACGCCGCGUGAGUGAAGAAGUAUCUCGGUAUGUAAAGCUCUAUCAGCAGGGAAGAAAAUGACGGUACCUGACUAAGAAGCCCCGGCUAACUACGUGCCAGCAGCCGCGGUAAUACGUAGGGGGCAAGCGUUAUCCGGAUUUACUGGGUGUAAAGGGAGCGUAGACGGUUUGGCAAGUCUGAAGUGAAAUGCGGGGGCUCAACUCCUGAACUGCUUUGGAAACUGUCGAACUAGAGUGCAGGAGAGGUAAGUGGAAUUCCUAGUGUAGCGGUGAAAUGCGUAGAUAUUAGGGGGAACACCAGUGGCGAAGGCGGCUUACUGGACUGUAACUGACGUUGAGGCUCGAAAGCGUGGGGAGCAAACAGGAUUAGAUACCCUGGUA
RNAcentral lists this ribosomal RNA (434 nucleotides) under uncultured Lachnospiraceae bacterium. RNAcentral describes it as "partial 16S ribosomal RNA". It matches the Rfam family "Bacterial small subunit ribosomal RNA", at positions 341 to 792 of the family's 1533-position model. Lineage: Bacteria; Bacillati; Bacillota; Clostridia; Lachnospirales; Lachnospiraceae. The record is from RNAcentral.